UUCAGCAUGAACCUCUACAUUUAAUAUGCAUAUAAAUAUCUGGGAAGGUCUAUUUACGAUCACAUCGGGUAAUAACAGUCAGUAAAAUCAUGGUGCGCGUGCGCGUUGUAAUAAUGCACAUUGUUGGCAGUAUUGUCGGAGGAUGGGUUCUCAGCAAUGUUUUUUAUGACUAUGUACUUUUCCCGUACUGGUAUCCUGGCCAGGAACGACCGUACAAGCGCACCACACUGACCGACUGGCUACUGCCGGAAGCCGUGCUCUUAGUACGGCAAAAGGAAAUCGCCACCAGCGAAUUCGUAUACGAUGCCACUGAUCACUGGUCACUUAUCGGUCUAUGCUCCGCGGCGGAAUCUCUGGAUAUUUGUUCAGCAUUUGGGAUUCCGGAACUGUCUCACAACCGGAGUAUUUCACGGCCGCGAAAUUCUCAUCCUCGACGGAGAACCCACCUUACCUGUGGAAACCGGCUGCAACGGGGAUGCACAUGCCGCUGCAUCACGGAAUACGCAGUACGUGUACGGAACAGCGGUGCGUGAUGCCGUAAAGGUCAACGCGUGGAAAUUCAAUACCGGCGUUGCACUUACGUCGCCGGUUGUUGUUAUUGAAGAUCGCUCUGCUUUUUGCCACGAGCGUCGAAGAGGCUACUUUUCCCUGGUAUAUCCCGACCGUGUAGACUGCACUGUCGUUCUAAGCUCUGCUGGGACAUCUCCACCGUCGAGCGAUUUGCGACAAAGGGCCAAGCAGCGAUUACGGCCCAGCUUUUUGGGGGGCCUUCGAGCAGGGUAGCGCAGUGGUUCUGGUUUUGGACAGUUGCAAUUCGUUCUCAAAUCUCAUUUCGCACAUUGUGAUAGUGAAUAGAUUGUAAAGACUGCGAUAGAGCAUGGCUAGAAUAAAAUUUUGUUAUUACACACAGUUCGAAUCCACCACCAAUGAAUAUCGUUCUACCAAACUCUUUUCGCUUACAGGCGUACUGUUACAGAGGAAAUUAUUGUAUGUAUCUAUACAAAAACCACGGGUGAUCCAGGAAUUCAGUUUUUUCAGAGUUCAAACUAACCUUAUAUCCAGUCGAGAGUGAAAUAUCGCAAAUAAAAUGUUUAUUACAGAACAGAUCGAA
This is a long non-coding RNA of Paramacrobiotus metropolitanus, 1111 nucleotides long. RefSeq lists it as uncharacterized. The record is from RefSeq and is a predicted model, not a curated record. The transcript has 4 exons. Lineage: Eukaryota; Metazoa; Tardigrada; Eutardigrada; Parachela; Macrobiotidae.